Cricetulus griseus (Chinese hamster) is the source of this 2127-nucleotide non-coding RNA. NCBI's taxonomy places the organism in Eukaryota, Metazoa, Chordata, Mammalia, Rodentia, Cricetidae. The record is from RefSeq and is a predicted model, not a curated record.
GUGGGUGCCUUCAUAGCCGUGUGUAUAUAUGGGCUGCACAAAUUGUACUCAGUGGUUAUUUAAAAGCAAAAUGACAACAACAAAAAACACAGGCUGUGAAGUUGAUAGGGGAGGCGAAUCCGGGAGGAGUUAGGGAAAGGAGUGGGGAUGAAAUUCUCACACGAUUAAUAAAAAUGCUAAUUUCUUUUCUUUUCUUUCUUUCUUUUUUUUUUUAAGUAUCGGUUUAGAGGAGGUGGGCUUUUUUUCUGAUGCUGGAAGUGUAGUUUCUUGUUUUUGUUUUUGCUUGGCAGGGAGCACCCUGCAAUAUUCCACUCAGCAUAUUUCCUGUUGACAUCUUUGCACGCUACCGACAGCAGCAGCAUCUUCAGAGAACCGGGAGCCCUAAGUGGUCACUGCUGAUACCCUGAGCACAGAAAGCGCUUUAACCUUUAUGGCGGUUCUCCUUACUGCCACUUCCUCAGAACAGAAGCCAGAAUCAGAUCUGCACAGCAAUGGAAUUCAACAUGGAGUUAGCUGCUGUUUCUCGUGGCCUCAGUCAGCUAGAAACCACCCUGCACAAGAUGGAGGCAGAGCCCUGAUAAACCAGAGAAAUGACCAGUGAGGAACAAGGGCCUAGUGGACUGCAGAAGAGCCCAAGGGAGACACCGGCACAGAUAGGUGCUGCCUACCCACUACUCUGGAUUGAGGGCUGAAGAUCUUCUCUGGAGUUGAGACCCUUCCCCUGUUUCUUGACUUCGGGUUCAACAAUCAUUACCAUACCUCCUAGCCAGCAACAGCCGUCCCUGGAUGGUCAUUUCAAAGACCCUACUGCACAUAAAGUAGUUUCUCAGGAGGACGAAUUUUGAUAAGCCAAUACAGGACUCACAUGGAUAUGUGGUCUCUCUCUUCAGCAUGGCCAUAGCCUCCAUCUGUAGGAUCUGCCAUGGACUCAAGGACAAGGUGGUGGAAGGGGAUCCCGGGACCCUGGUGCCUGCAUCUGAAAAACCAGAGGCAAACAUAUGUAAAUGUGCGGGCACUGCACAGUGCCAAUCUUCCAGCCAACACCACCUCACAGAUGAACUAAAAUAAUUGCUUGGACUCGGUUUUUGAAACUUAACAUCGAGCCCAUACACAAAUAUUAGCCUAGUCAGUCCCCUCCCCCUCCCCAGCCACCACAGGUUUACUUAUAUAAACAAAUCAUGUUCCCCAAGAAGGAGGCUGGAGCUGACACAGGCCAUUGUUGGGAAGGCAAUUACCGUAAUGAGGGAAAGCUAAGUGAAUGGAAGGCUGCUCCAGCUGCUUUGUUGAUAGAGGGUAAUAAGGGUGCUGCCUGAGCACAGAGUUAAUUUGCACUUUUCUCCACAAGCCUGGUGCUGCCCAAGCCACAACUACCCUUAGAACUGAAGCCCAGCUAAUUACUCAUGUUAAUUACCCAGCCCCAGGUCAGAUCCUGUGGCUGGUUAAAGACAGUGAAAGGCUAGGCGGCCACGAUUCUUGCUUAGAGCCGUGCAGAGGCUAUGGCUGGAUGUGUAAAUCUCUCUGAUUGGUGCACACCCUCCUUUAAGAGGCAUUAACUCUGCAGGGGACUAAGUUUCCUGAGAGCACCAUACCCUGCUCCCUCCUCGGGUCUCUUGAGAUCCCUCGGGAUUUUCUCCACGAGUUCUAUUUUCUCUGUAUAGAACACGCUAAUGGGGAAAAUGUUCACAAACAUAACUAAACAAAUUAGAUUAAUAAUUAACAAGCUGGGUGUGUUGGUGUCCAUCUGUAAUCCUAGCACUCAGGAAGCAGGAACAGGAAGAUUUGAGUUCACUGCUAGCCUAUCUCCAAAAAGAAGAAAAAACCCAAAGCCAAAUGGUUCCACCCUGUAUGAUGUUUCCAUUUACAUAAUAUUCUGGAAAAGGCAAAACCAUAGGGAACUGUGCCGACCAGAGGUUGCCAAAGGUGGGGGUGGUAGUGAGAGCUGACCACAAAGGGGGAUCAUGAGGGAAUUUGGGGGGACAAUGGGCUCCUCUGGAUAUGAUCAUGGGAUAUGUAUAUCAUGUGAUAUACAUUCAGCAAUGUUAUACACGUGUCAAAACCUGUAGAGAUGUCCUCUGCAAAGAGUGAAUUUUGUUGUGUUACUGUAUAAAGUUACAGAGAAAAAUGUAA